GAAACAUGAGACCAGAGAGAACCCAACCAGUAGGUCACAGUUUAUCAUCCCCCAGUCAUCUCCUGAAGUCCAUAUGAUCCACCAACCACUGGAACACAUCUCCAAAGUUCUGCUGGUCCAGCUCAGCUUCCCCUCAGAAGAAGUGGCGCCACCUGCCAGAUGAAGGAAACUUUUUAGAGGCAGCUGGCAUCGUGAUUGGACUGUACUUUGGUCUGUUCCAAUCCAGCUUCAGCUCCAGAGACGGCAGGCGGGACGAGUCAACGGAGGCCGGGUGGACGAAGGCAUGCAGCUGAGUACAAUCCAGAAAACAACAGAGGAGGAGGAAACAAACAUAGUAGCAU
Molecule: long non-coding RNA, 341 nt
Organism: Amphiprion ocellaris (clown anemonefish)
Lineage: Eukaryota; Metazoa; Chordata; Actinopteri; Pomacentridae
Source: Ensembl